UGGGGAAUAUUGGACAAUGGAGGCAACUCUGAUCCAGCCAUGCCGCGUGAAGGACUAAGGCCCUAUGGGCUGUAAACUUCUUUAGACGCAGAGCAAUAAGGGCCACGCGUGGUCCGAUGAGAGUAUGCGUAGAAUAAGCAUCGGCUAACUCCGUGCCAGCAGCCGCGGUAAUACGGAGGAUGCGAGCGUUAUCCGGAUUUAUUGGGUUUAAAGGGUGCGUAGGCUGUUUGUCAAGUCAGAGGUGAAAGGCCGCAGCUCAACUGUGGAAUUGCCUUUGAUACUGGCAGGCUUGAAUACUGUUGCCGUGGGAGGAGUGAGUAGUGUAGCGGUGAAAUGCAUAGAUAUUACUCAGAACACCGAUUGCGAAGGCAUCUCACGAAGCAGACAUUGACGCUGAGGCACGAAAGCGUGGGGAUC
This 417-nucleotide ribosomal RNA is filed under the name uncultured bacterium. RNAcentral describes it as "bacterial SSU rRNA". It matches the Rfam family "Bacterial small subunit ribosomal RNA", at positions 355 to 769 of the family's 1533-position model. The record is from RNAcentral.